This 926-nucleotide ribosomal RNA is filed under the name uncultured Bacteroidota bacterium. Its description in RNAcentral is "bacterial SSU rRNA". It matches the Rfam family "Bacterial small subunit ribosomal RNA", at positions 1 to 917 of the family's 1533-position model. Lineage: Bacteria; Pseudomonadati; Bacteroidota. The record is from RNAcentral.
UGGAUCCAGACUUUGAUCAUGGCUCAGGAUGAACGCUAGCUACAGGCUUAACACAUGCAAGUCGAGGGGAAACGACAUCGAAAGCUUGCUUUUGAUGGGCGUCGACCGGCGCACGGGUGAGUAACGCGUAUCCAACCUGCCCACCACUUGGGGAUAACCUUGCGAAAGUAAGACUAAUACCCAAUGAUAUCUCUAGAAGACAUCUGAAAGAGAUUAAAGAUUUAUCGGUGAUGGAUGGGGAUGCGUCUGAUUAGCUUGUUGGCGGGGUAACGGCCCACCAAGGCUACGAUCAGUAGGGGUUCUGAGAGGAAGGUCCCCCACAUUGGAACUGAGACACGGUCCAAACUCCUACGGGAGGCAGCAGUGAGGAAUAUUGGUCAAUGGACGAGAGUCUGAACCAGCCAAGUAGCGUGCAGGAUGACGGCCCUAUGGGUUGUAAACUGCUUUUAUGAGGGAAUAAAGUGAGUCUCGUGAGACUUUUUGCAUGUACCUUAUGAAUAAGGACCGGCUAAUUCCGUGCCAGCAGCCGCGGUAAUACGGAAGGUCCGGGCGUUAUCCGGAUUUAUUGGGUUUAAAGGGAGCGUAGGCCGGAGAUUAAGCGUGUUGUGAGAUGUAGAUGCUCAACAUCUGCACUGCAGCGCGAACUGGUUUCCUUGAGUACGCACAAAGUGGGCGGAAUUCGUGGUGUAGCGGUGAAAUGCUUAGAUAUCACGAAGAACUCCGAUUGCGAAGGCAGCUCACUGGAGCGCAACUGACGCUGAAGCUCGAAAGUGCGGGUAUCGAACAGGAUUAGAUACCCUGGUAGUCCGCACGGUAAACGAUGGAUGCCCGCUGUUGGUCUGAAUAGGUCAGCGGCCAAGCGAAAGCAUUAAGCAUCCCACCUGGGGAGUACGCCGGCAACGGUGCAACUCAAAGGAAUUGACGGA